Coturnix japonica (Japanese quail) is the source of this 1982-nucleotide non-coding RNA. The record is from RefSeq and is a predicted model, not a curated record. Lineage: Eukaryota; Metazoa; Chordata; Aves; Galliformes; Phasianidae.
CACAGCAUUAAUGUGCACUUUUCUCUUCUGCAUUUUCUUUCUGAUCUUCCAGCAUGCAGAACAGGUUUUCUGCUAAUUCAUUUAACGCUGCUCUCGCAAACACUCUCUGAACACCAGAUAGAAGAGGAAAAUAUGUAAGCAUAAAAGUGUGGAAGCAUUUCCUACACUAUGAUUUGGAAGGAGAAAGCAGGCAGUUCCAGAAUUGCAGAAGGGUUACUUCUGUUUGUUGCAAUGUUAUGGUGGCUGAGCAAAGGGCUCCUGGGAUCCUUAUGCUGCUCAGAGGUGGCCACCCAGAGAGACUGUGACCCAUUUAUGAGAGACUGCAUCAUCUUUAAUUCUUCAAGUAACACUCUUAUAUGCUGCUGGUAUAGUGGGAAGGAUUAAUCAGCUGCUUGAAGUGCAUCUAUCUUUCUGUGCAAUGGCUACAGAGGUAGUCUACAUGACUGAUAUACAUUAGACACUUCAGUUUUAGAUGGCUAAAAGAGGAGGUAAGAUGGAUCUGAGUCUAAGUGCUCUGCUCCUCUGUAUCUUAUACUUUUCCUAAACAUUACUCUCUCUCUGUCUUCAUCUAAAGAUCAUGUAGCAGCACUGUGUCCUGUCAAAGCAUUUCCUUCUGCUCUUCCUGAGAACAGUAGUAUUUUUUCAUCACUUUCCAUAAGUGUAGAAUCAAGUCUAAUGCCUCUUGUUGUCUGGUACAAAUGCCUGUAUUAAAUAGGAAAGACAGAUGCUGCUAUCUCAGAGGCAGAGCAUACUAAAGGACUCUUAGCCUGUGGAUCUCCCUGUCCUUCUCUUGGCUGCCAGCUUCCCUCCCCACCUGGCUGUGCAGGAGAUCAGACAGGGUAAUUAUGGAGGUUUGUUUCUUUCCUCUUCUUAACCUAACCAAGAAUUGAUCACUCUUACAAACUAAGUUACCACCCAGGGAAUGGAAAUAGAGCUGCAUUUUUCUCCUGAUUGGGUACACCUCAUUAGGUCUGUGACAGCCUUUGGCUGGACUCCCUACCAGGGGUAAUUGGUAGUGACAACAGUAUCAUUUUGCCACCUACCAGUCAGCAUUCAGAGGAACAGCGAGAUCAGAGACAACAAGCAGGAGGAGAUGAAUCAAAAGAUUACAAAGAUAUCGCAAGAUUAGUAAUUAAGGAAGACCUCCAGAAAGGACUGUCUUAAUUUUUUUAAGAGGUGUUGAGAGCAGUCAUCUGUCUUAAGCAGAAGAUGACUGAGUGUAUCACUAUGAAGUGCCAGUUAAUGGAAUUAGUAGCAGACCGUGGAAACUUUCAAUCUUGGCCACAAAUAGAGCUCAAUAGAAAAGACAAGGCAAUCUUCCCUUUAUUUUCCUCUUAUCUAUUAGCCAGAAGUUCUUGCAUGUGUAGUGUUUCUUGUUUCUGUUUUUGUUUUUUUUUCUUUUUUUCCCCUGUAAAUAAACUCCAGUAAGUUGCUUACUGGUGAUUUCAGCUAGGCCUGUGAGACCUUGAUGGAUAGGGUUUAUUGUGAAACUGAAGAAGAGGACUAUAUUUAGCUUAUAAUGACAGAGACACUGUGAAACUGCUGUUAAAAUUGUCAGAGAUGAUAUAGCAAGGCUAGACAGACAUUGCUCUGAUCCAGUCUGAAGUCUGCUUUAUUCUGUAAGCAAUAUCAUUUGACCUUAUCUGUCCUACUUACAGAUGAUCUUGACGCCAUGUAUGCAAUUAAAAUAUCAUGGGCAAAUCAUUCAUUCCUUUUUAAUAGAAAUAUGAGAAAUAUUUUCAAAAACUUCCUUGCUUGAUUUACAAGUAGAGAUCAUGAACAUGAAUAGAAUCAGAAAUGCUUUGAUGAUUGUUUUCAGGAUUACUCAGGAUUAUUCUAAGUAUUUGACUGGAAUAUGGCAACAGAAUUGUCUGUGUGUUCUGUUAUGUGCAGGAAAACCUGUGUAGUACUACCACUGGAGCCCAUACAGAAAUAAAAUAAGACAGUGUCUGCCACAAGAAUAAUAAAGGUAUUUGCCUGCA